This 253-nucleotide ribosomal RNA is filed under the name uncultured bacterium. RNAcentral's name for it is "partial 16S ribosomal RNA". It matches the Rfam family "Bacterial small subunit ribosomal RNA", at positions 524 to 776 of the family's 1533-position model. The record is from RNAcentral.
UACGAAGGGGGCUAGCGUUGCUCGGAAUCACUGGGCGUAAAGCGCACGUAGGCGGAUCUUUAAGUCAGGGGUGAAAUCCUGGAGCUCAACUUCAGAACUGCCUUUGAUACUGGGGAUCUCGAGUCCGGAAGAGGUGAGUGGAACUCCGAGUGUAGAGGUGAAAUUCGUAGAUAUUCGGAAGAACACCAGUGGCGAAGGCGGCUCACUGGUCCGGUACUGACGCUGAGGUGCGAAAGCGUGGGGAGCAAACAGG